GGGCGUGUGGCUCAGUUGGUAGAGCGCCCGCUUAGCAUGUCCAGCUCUUGCGGAAGGUCCCCGGUUCGAUUCCGGGCUCGUCCA
Molecule: non-coding RNA, 84 nt
Organism: Cladorrhinum samala
Lineage: Eukaryota; Fungi; Ascomycota; Sordariomycetes; Sordariales; Podosporaceae
Source: the annotation of a GenBank genome assembly